AGAGAAGCCUGGAGGGCUGCAGUGCAUGGGGUCUCAAAAGAGUCGGGCGUGACUUAGCGACUAAGCACCCCCCCAAUGAAAUAGAUGCUGUUACUGCCCCCUUUCACGGACGAGGACAUUGAGGCCCAGAUAAGGGUAACUGUGUUAGGUAUUAUUACGGAAAACAGUGGCGCCAGGGAUCUUACCCAGGGGCCACUGCGGGGUCACGCACAACCUCUGCCCAUCACCCCUGUGUCUCCCUGUGUUUGAGAGCUGCAAGGUUCCACGCCUGUGCCAUAUACUGACAUAAGGAGCUGGCAUAAGGAGUGGCCACAAUGAUAAUUCCACUGAGGACACUCGUGUUCUCAAACACCACUUAGGAGCAAACUUCCAUGACCAAUUCUUCCCAGUGCUCAGAGCCAAGAAAGCAGUUCUUCCUAAACGGUGCUGGGUUUCCCCGUCAGUCUAGAUGUCAGGAAACGCCCAUGUGGCAUUUUAUGUCCAAACUGAGGCCACCUCUUUAGGCAGGCUUCCUAGCAUCACUCCACCCACACCCACCCAGUCCCCCUUGCCACCCCUCCUACUUGAACUUUGAGGCGGUGCUGUGACGUUUGAGGGCCUGUGCCCGCACCUCCUGGUUGGAAGUCCCCUCAAACUCCUUGGGGGAAAGGUUUAGUGAUGAUUCUGACAUAUGUAGAAACCCAGUGUGUGCCCCGUCGAGGUGAGAAGUCAGAAGAACUGUAGUCUUCAGCUGCGGGUAAUCUUAAGGCCCGUGGCCCCCUGGAGGGGGAGGCCACCGUGGUGGUUUUGUCAGCAUGGUGGAAUUUGGGGUAGUUUCUUUUCCUCCGAGAAUUGUCCUCAGUAUCUUUCUUUACAGAAGACUCUUGAAGCUAUCCCUGUGAGGCACGGGACCUUGAGAGCACUUUCCCGUGUGCGUGCCCGGCCGUGCCUUCUCUCGCUGAGGGACAGAAGCCAACCUCGUUCUGUACUGGCCCGGCACCCUCUUCAUCCUCACCCUCACCUCCAGGCUCCAGCUACAUGCGCCUUUUCCCAGUUUCUGAGACCUGAGCCCCAGCUGGGAGCUCCGUAAACGCAGGGACCAGGAGCACUGGCGGCAUCGGCCACCGAGAGCUCAGGGCCUCCCCACUGUCUGCCACGGAGUCAUCCACGCGCCACAGAUCUGCUCGGAAUGCAUGGAGCCGAGAAGCCCCAGGUUUAACCCCUGCCCUCUCACGCCUUUCCCACAGGGCUGCAGACAGGCUCUCUCGCGACCAUUACCUGUUAAGCCUUCCCCUUUGCCCUGCCUGCAGCCCGGCCGAGGCCACGUCCCAGUUUAAGAGCUACCCCACCUCGCUCCCCUCCCCUCCUUCGUGAGGAAAUAUUUCUGUUUUAUGACUAACUCUGCUCCUCAUUUCUCUCGCGUUAUCUUAAUGAAUUAACUGGGUCCCCAUCGUUCCCUGGGGCCCCCCACGGUUUAUGAGCUGUACAGCAAUAUCUGCGAUCUUAGUCAACCCACACAGUUGUUGUGCUGGUUCCUAUUACAGUAAUUGGCAUAAACUUUAUUCUUUUGCAGAGAGAUUCUUUUUUGGCCCACUGAGACUGCAUAACCAUCUGCCAUAAAUUGAGACUAGUACGGCUUAUUUUGGUGAAUGCAGAAUUGGAUCCCAUUCUUUACUCUGUGGCUUGAUUCAACUUCCAGAUGGUUAAUCCACAUGAAGUAAUAGGAAUGCACCACAGCUCUGCUUAGCUGAAGAUGGAGACGUAAUAUUUAUUUGCUGAUGUGGAGGCCUCCGAACGCUGCCCUGUCGGGAUGUCGGUAUAAAACGCAGCAGCACAAAAAUGUCAGCUUGUCCACAGGAGCAACAGUGUUCCUCUGAGUUGCCAUGGGGGAUCCCCGAUGUCAUUUUUUUUUUUCUUCUUCCCGGUCUGCCCUUGACCUAAUCUCAAGAGGUUUUGUUCUCUCCUGGGCUGUUUCUUAUCAGCUAUGUCUGCCCAUGGAGCCGGCUUUGCAUCUGCUUUGACUUUAGUACCUGUGACAUUUUCAUUAAUACUUCUUCAAGGUUGAGCCUUGAUUCCAAAUAUCCUGCAGCUCAGAGAAGCUGAAGCUAGCUGUGCCUGGCUGGGGGGCUGCUGGGAAAAUUGGCCUGGUGGUAUCAACAAGCUUGGACAUCUCCACCCAGUUAGGGUAAUCAAUCUGUUUUCAUUGUUACUGCUCCCCCACCCUAGCUUGCCACAUUGCGGGGAUGGGAUACUCAGAUCUAGGUCAGCAGAUUCAGGAGGCUUAACCCUCAGUUGUGCUUCCACUCCCAGCAGUCUUGACCGCCCUGUCUGGCAGGAUUACACAUCCCCACCAGCCAACCCAGGUGGCUCAAUGGAAAAAGAACCCACUUUCCAAGGCAGGGAGUGUGGGUUCCAUCCCUGGGUCGGGAAGAUCCCCUGGAGAAGGAAAAGGCUAGCCACACAAG
Molecule: long non-coding RNA, 2444 nt
Organism: Capra hircus (goat)
Lineage: Eukaryota; Metazoa; Chordata; Mammalia; Artiodactyla; Bovidae
Exons: 3
Source: RefSeq, a predicted model, not a curated record